GUCGAUCUGUCAAGCUAAAGGAUCAAAGCAUCUGGUACAUCGUCAGAAGCUCGAAGAAGAGCUCAAAGAGUUUCGGGCCUUUAAGAAUUUGAGUCCGCCACUGACCGAAGACUUUCGUAAGGAUAUCCAGGCAGAAUACAGAAAAUUCGCCGAGCUGAACAAUAAGAUCGUCCAUAUAUAUGCGAAAGGAUAUGAAAUCUGCCGAAGUAAAGGCAAGAAAAAGCUCGGGCCAAGGUAGAUCCAUCUCUUCUAGACUCUUUAGAUGGUGACGAUGACAAGGAAGAAGCCUGAAGAUGACCUCUCCUUAUCUUUAGUUGUAGAACUUUCUGUGAAAAUUCUAACUUUAUGUGAACAGUUAAUAUUUAAUGAAAUAUCAACUUCAUGCCUUAUUACUUCUGUGUGAACAUUUCUUGUCAAUAAUUCAGUGUCAAUUAAUCUGUAUGAACUUAACUUAGGACAUGAACUAGAUAAGGCGUAUAACAGUUAAUUUAUGAAAUGAAGUGAACUGAAUUUAAUGGAUAGAAUUUAAUGAACAGUAUUGAAUGAACUGAACUCAACACUUGAACAAAAUAAAGUAAUGUAUACUUAUCGUUUCCGAAGUGUGAGAUCGGUCAUGUGUGAAGUGAAUUCGGCUGAUCCUC
RNAcentral lists this long non-coding RNA (641 nucleotides) under Panax ginseng (ginseng). RNAcentral describes it as "long non-coding RNA (PGIN_LNC003293)". The record is from RNAcentral. Lineage: Eukaryota; Viridiplantae; Streptophyta; Magnoliopsida; Apiales; Araliaceae.